GCUGGGUGAGUUCGUGUGCAGCUUUGUGUUGAGUCUUGGCUCUGUGCGUGUGAUGAUGCUGAGUGAGUGAGCUGUGUGUGUGCACAUGAACUGAAAAAAGUUUCAGAUCUUGUAGCCAGCUCGUGUGCACCACAUGAGUGUUUGUGUUUAUGCCCCAAAGAAGAAGGUCACCAAGCUGGAGGGGAGAAGGUCAGAUGAGGUGUAGGGAGCAGGGGUGUCGCCUUUGAUGAGGAACAUGGUUGCUGUUCCAGAACGUGGUGUUCUUUUUGUUGUUGCUGAGUGAGUGAGUGAGCGGGUAAUUUCUGAGGCAUAAAGGAACAUGCAAACAAUGUACAUACAUGUACAGCGAUCUGAGGCGAGAUGCAGAGGGUGUAAAGACAGAGUUUUGAGUCUGGGUGGAUGCAAGUGAAGUGCUCAUGAUGAUGGCCAGACUUUUAAUAUCUUAAGGGGGCAGCAUAGUGUAUAUGUUGAUGAAAAUUUAGUAGUUGUUGUAAAAGGCACUUGGUUUCGGAUAAAUGAAAUCCGAGAGGGAUCUCUUUUUGUCAUAUAUAUAUUGUAUGCCUCUGUUUCUCAGGCUCCCGGUCAAAAUCCAUCGUCUCACGUGCAGCCAAGUGAAAAUUUGCAGUCAUCCGCCCGCUUUCUGACUUAACAAAUAUUUUUGUUUGCGGAAACCCCC
Molecule: long non-coding RNA, 676 nt
Filed under: Triticum aestivum (bread wheat)
Lineage: Eukaryota; Viridiplantae; Streptophyta; Magnoliopsida; Poales; Poaceae
Description: long non-coding RNA (TAES_LNC004529)
Source: RNAcentral